RNAcentral lists this ribosomal RNA (256 nucleotides) under uncultured bacterium. Its description in RNAcentral is "partial 16S ribosomal RNA". It matches the Rfam family "Bacterial small subunit ribosomal RNA", at positions 334 to 604 of the family's 1533-position model. The record is from RNAcentral.
GUUUCCUACGGGGCGCAGCAGUGGGGAAUAUUGGGCAAUGGGCGCAAGCCUGACCCAGCAACGCCGCGUGAAGGAAGAAGGCUUUCGGGUUGUAAACUUCUUUUCUCAGGGACGAAGAAAGUGGCGGUACCUGAGGAAUAAGCCACGGCUAACUACGUGCCAGCAGCCGCGGUAAUACGUAGGGGGCAAGCGUUAUCCGGAUUUAUUUGGUGUAAAGGGCGUGUAGGCGGGAGCGCCAGUCAGAUGUGAAAACUCA